UGUGCGUCUACUCCCUACCCAGCAUGGGAAAUGAAGCAGGAAGAGGAGGAGGCUGCCUGUCUGUACCCACCUCUCGCUCAAGGUGCCAGAAACGCCGCCACUGGAGAUCCACUCCUUCACAUCAAACACUGUCCCCUCCAGGGUCAUCUUAAAAUGUGGAUGUGGCCCCUGGAACAGAAGCAGCCAGGGGAAGGCUCACUCACAGAGGGUGUUGCUGAUGCUGCCAUAAACGUACUUGAGCCCAUGAACCGCAUGCAGGGCCUGCGCUGCAUUCUUGGCAAGACUGUGCUGCAAAAUUCAAUCCAGAGAGUGAGAGGCGGGGCUCCCCACAGCCCCACACCCUCACCAGCUGUGGAGGAGCAGGGACUUCAGAGUCUUGGAAGCUGAAUCUGUAGAUGGCUCUUGUAAGAAGGAAGCACAGCAUCUCCAAUUUUGAAACUGAUCCCAUGGCCAUGUCGUGGAGGGCUACACUGGGCUGGUCAAGCUUUGUGGGUUAGGAACACAACUGGAAAGAGCAUCACAGGUCCUGCUCUCACUCCUCCUCCCUGAAACGACUGCACAGAAGCCCAGUCAAAGGCCAGGAAUUGCCCCAACUUUGGAAGCCUCCUGAGGAUGCCAGAGCACCCCACUUGACCCUCAGAGCAGUGAGCUGGCUGAAGAUCUGGAAGGCUUGCCCACAGACCAGUUCAAACGAUGCUCUAGGACUGCCGCAAACAGGUCCUUCCCAAGGGUGCAGGUGAGGGCGGCACGGGUGGGAGGGAUGAUCUACAGAUUACUCAGCAUGCAGCAAUUAAAUUAAGGCAAUAAUAAAACCAUAAACAAAAUCUUCCUGCCUGAGUCCCUAACCAGACACUCGCUACUUCUGGCCACAGGCAGGCCCAGAGGCAAUUUUGUCACCUGGGAGCGCAUCCCCUAUUGGUCUGCCUGUCCUCACCUAGGGUGAGGACUGACCCUGGUUAGAAGGGGAUGUGCCUACAGGGAACGAGGGGGUAGG
This is a long non-coding RNA of Hippopotamus amphibius kiboko, 994 nucleotides long. RefSeq lists it as uncharacterized. The record is from RefSeq and is a predicted model, not a curated record. NCBI's taxonomy places the organism in Eukaryota, Metazoa, Chordata, Mammalia, Artiodactyla, Hippopotamidae. The transcript has 3 exons.